This 497-nucleotide ribosomal RNA is filed under the name uncultured bacterium. RNAcentral's name for it is "partial 16S ribosomal RNA". It matches the Rfam family "Bacterial small subunit ribosomal RNA", at positions 28 to 507 of the family's 1533-position model. The record is from RNAcentral.
GACGAACGCUGGCGGCGUGCCUAAUACAUGCAAGUUGAGCGCUGAAGGUUGGUACUUGUACCAACUGGAUGAGCAGCGAACGGGUGAGUAACGCGUGGGGAAUCUGCCUUUGAGCGGGGGACAACAUUUGGAAACGAAUGCUAAUACCGCAUAAAAACUUUAAACACAAGUUUUAAGUUUGAAAGAUGCAAUUGCAUCACUCAAAGAUGAUCCCGCGUUGUAUUAGCUAGUUGGUGAGGUAAAGGCUCACCAAGGCGAUGAUACAUAGCCGACCUGAGAGGGUGAUCGGCCACAGUGGGACUGAGACACGGCCCAAACUCCUACGGGAGGCAGCAGUAGGGAAUCUUCGGCAAUGGACGAAAGUCUGACCGAGCAACGCCGCGGGAGUGAAGAAGGGUGUCGGAUCGUAAAACUCUGUUGGUAGAGAAGAACGUUGGUGAGAGUGGAAAGCUCAUCAAGUGACGGUAACUACACAGAAAGGGACGGCUAACUACGUG